This 165-nucleotide small nuclear RNA is filed under the name Oryza sativa Japonica Group (Japanese rice). Its description in RNAcentral is "U2 spliceosomal RNA". Lineage: Eukaryota; Viridiplantae; Streptophyta; Magnoliopsida; Poales; Poaceae. The record is from RNAcentral.
AACAACUCUCGGCCUUUUGGCUAAAAUCAAGGGUUUGUUUGGUAGAGCUAAAACUUCUAAAUUUAGGUACAGGAGUUGAGUCUGGGGUAGAGCUGUUUAAAUCCAGCUCCACUUUUUUAGUUUAUUUUGUGAGAUAACUCUGCUCCCAUUUUUGGUAGAGCUUAA